This 253-nucleotide ribosomal RNA is filed under the name uncultured bacterium. Its description in RNAcentral is "partial 16S ribosomal RNA". It matches the Rfam family "Bacterial small subunit ribosomal RNA", at positions 524 to 776 of the family's 1533-position model. The record is from RNAcentral.
UACGGAGGGGGCUAGCGUUGUUCGGAAUUACUGGGCGUAAAGCGCGCGUAGGCGGCUUUGUAAGUUAGAGGUGAAAGUCCUGGGCUUAACCUGGGGACUGCAUUUGAUACUGGGUUGCUUGAAUUCGGGAGAGGAUAGCGGAAUUCCCAGUGUAGAGGUGAAAUUCGUAGAUAUUGGGAAGAACACCGGUGGCGAAGGCGGCUAUCUGGACCGACAUUGACGCUGAGGCGCGAAAGCGUGGGGAGCAAACAGG